Molecule: ribosomal RNA, 497 nt
Filed under: uncultured bacterium
Lineage: Bacteria
Description: partial 16S ribosomal RNA
Rfam family: Bacterial small subunit ribosomal RNA
Source: RNAcentral
GAUGAACGCUGGCGGCGUGCCUAAUACAUGCCAGUCGAGCGAACAGACGAGGAGCUUGCUCCUCUGACGUUAGCGGCGGACGGGUGAGUAACACGUGGAUAACCUACCUAUAAGACUGGGAUAACUUCGGGAAACCGGAGCUAAUACCGGAUAAUAUAUUGAACCGCAUGGUUCAAUAGUGAAAGACGGUUUUGCUGUCACUUAUAGAUGGAUCCGCGCCGCAUUAGCUAGUUGGUAAGGUAACGGCUUACCAAGGCAACGAUGCGUAGCCGACCUGAGAGGGUGAUCGGCCACACUGGAACUGAGACACGGUCCAGACUCCUACGGGAGGCAGCAGUAGGGAAUCUUCCGCAAUGGGCGAAAGCCUGACGGAGCAACGCCGCGUGAGUGAUGAAGGUCUUCGGAUCGUAAAACUCUGUUAUUAGGGAGGAACAAAUGUGUAAGUAACUAUGCACGUCUUGACGGUACCUAAUCAGAAAGCCACGGCUAACUACGUG